AGAAGAGUCAGUUGCAAAAAUUGGCAAUACUACAUAUGAUACUUCAUCCACCAUUUGCAAUCAAACAAAUGGAGAAGAAAAUAUAAUUUUCAUGAUGUGAUUUAUAUUUUAUAUGACGGAAUAAGCUUUCUGUGAUCCAACUGUGGACACAAGGGGAAAGAAACGUUUUGGAGGAUUGAUGAAAACCAGCUCUUCAUUGAGAUCUGAAAGCUAAGUAUCGGGUUUCUAUUUAAAAUUUUAAAAAUGCUAAUCAGCAGGUUAUUUAUUCAGAAUCCGUCAGCCUCCAAAAUGACAGAUCGGAGUUCCACAUAACUGAUCUUACUUAAGUACAUCUAUUUCCUGGUUUACCAAAAGUAAUACCUGUUAAUGGUGAAAUGAAGGUACUGGCAUUUGCACUGACUGUGCCCUUGAACUAAACAAACAUAAACCAAGUAGAGCUCACCUUUGUGCAGUGAUUUGACAUUAAAGCACAUGGAACACUUACUACAUUGUAUUGCUUUAACAAAAAUGUGUUUAUAUAUGUAUGCCAAAUAAAAAUUAUAUUGAGACAAAGUGAGAAGGGAGAUGAAGUCUGUGAAGUAAUUUGGCAAGCUGAUGAACCCAAUACGAGAAUUGACAUUGAAUAUCAACUGCUGCCUGAGAUAUUUAUAACAACCUCGUCAUUCUAACUGUUUGGAACUCAGACUGCACUCCAGUUAAAUUCCAAUGCAGACCGCUAAAAUAGUUAGAGUGUAGUUGCACGCAGCAUUUCAAUUGACGACUACGUAUGCCAGUUUGGCAAACAAUUUGCACAUUUAGUUGAGUGAAAUAAGCACAGACUGCUAGGUAAAUUUCAGUAAAUUGGCAUUACUUUGAACCUUUUGAGUAUCAGGCAGUUGAACCCAGUUUACCAUGAGCAGUUAGGUAGAAGCGCUGGAGCUUUGAAUGAAGAAGGAAUGAUUGAUUGCUCUAGGCCAAAAUAACUGGCGUAUUGUUCUGGUCAGUGCACAACAAAUGCUGAAACUGAUUUUAUAUCGACAGCUUAAAUGUCUUUGUGUUUCCACUGCAGUGGUAUAAAAUUGAAAUGCGUGUAUGUAUAAAUUGUUAGAGCUAUUAUUAAUGUUAUAACUUUUAUUCCAGAAUUCUCAUUUUUAAUUGUUUUCUAUUCAAGAUAUAAACAUUAGAUGUUCUCCAAAGAGCAUUGUCCAAAAUAUUCCAAGCUGCCUUCCUUGCCGAAAAUUGUGUUAUCACAACAGCAGCUCCUUAUUUGUGAAAGUUGGAAUCUCACGGAACAACAUCCAUGAAAUUCCAGAUCUCCUCCAACUCUUCAUGAUGAGAAUUGCCAGGAUACAUUAAAGUGGAGUCAUUCAAGUGAGGGCCAGGAUGGCCAGAAAUGAUACAGAACUGAUUUUAUGCCACAUUUGCGCUGAUCUGUACUUCUCUGUGGAUUGGAACAAAGACUAAAAUUAGUCGCUGAGUCUCUAGAGAAGCCUCUGAGGUCCAUGCAUGGCAGUGACUUCUGGAAUUCAAAGCUAAUGCCCAAUCCACAUCAGCAGAACAUCAGAACGACUGCUGUACAGCCUGGAGGAUAUGUUGUUUACAAAGCGCUGCUGCCAUGCAUAAAUAUCAUGACUGGGUUAUGGAUGCUUUUACUAGAUGCUAACUAAGUCAUACAAGUGCAAUCUAGUGAACAUUUAUUAAUGUUUUCAAAAACAUGAUUUGGCAGAACUCCAUUCAAAUCUUCUUUCAUCAGGUUCCAGUUCCAUAUAAUCACCACUGAUGCACUCUAGCUAUUAUUGUAAAUAACCAUUAACCCUUAUGUUGCAAGGACUAUCACCGACUCAUUGAUUCUAUCCUCAUACUUCCCUCCUGCACUGGCAAGGACAGUUUGUAAGCACUGAUUCCCUAUCUACUAUGGGCAAAUAGGUGGGUGAUGUCCAAACACAUGGUCGAUAUUCUUCCUCACCACCCCUGUGCUUCCUGGACCCUUUGAAAGUGGCGGUGAAAAUGGUGGGAAUGGCCUAAUUUUUCCCCAAUCAAGGGAACUGACCAUAAUAUAGCCUCCUUUGCCUCUAAUCUGGUGUUCCUCCUCAUCAAGGCCGAAAUAGCUGCCAGGGGCCAUUGAAAUAAGAAUCAGGAAACUGAUCAGGGAGAUCAGAGGUUGGAUCUCUAACCUUGCAAAUAAAUAUGGCUUAAUGCAAAAGUAGGAGCUGUAUCAAUGGUUACGGCAUAAGCACUACUCUGUCAUAAUCUUAAACAGCGAAAGGAUCCUUUGGAAUAGUCUUACAGGAAAACUGAUAGGAGCAAUUCUCUACAUAGUAACAUCCAAAUUUGUAUUGUAUUGUCAAUGCCACAAAGAAGAAAAAAGGAUUAAUCAGAAAACAAAUCAACAAAAGCCAGUGGCAUAAAAUUAUCCAUUUAUAAUACAUCAACAAUGACAUGUUGCCUACCUUACCACACAGAGUUUUAUCUUGUAUGAGCUGAGAAAUAAUAAUCAGAAUUAUUAAGUAACUGACAUGAUAAAAGUCAUUUUUCCUUCAGCUGUGGUGCAUUUCCAUGGUCUUCUGAUUUUAUAGCAGACUUUUAAUUAGUUCAGCUAUCUGUCUUAGUCAAUGAGGGUUCAAAAAACACAAGCAGUAAGCAGCAACCUCUGACUUGCAAUUAGAUUAUUUCCUAAUGGAGAAAUUUUCAUACACUCAAUACCUUAUGUUUACACUCAUGUUUCUACUUAAUGUGGGCUACGAGGAUUGAGGAGAAUAUUUUAUUCAAGUGAUAUUGGUUUUAAGGAACAGUUAAGUAUGUAGCAAAGAGUUUAGACUUCAGAAAGUACAAGGGUUAACAUCCCAAAACGAAGAUUAAAUCAUUUGACAGAAGGGGCAAAACCUUUUCUGUUGUGCCAGGGGUUGGAGACUGAAAGGUUAGUCACCUGUUGUUUAUUACAAGGUGAAUUGCAUUUAUUUAAUAAAGCCAUGACCUUUGUACAAAAAUGACGGUUUG
Molecule: long non-coding RNA, 2976 nt
Organism: Stegostoma tigrinum
Lineage: Eukaryota; Metazoa; Chordata; Chondrichthyes; Orectolobiformes; Stegostomatidae
Exons: 4
Source: RefSeq, a predicted model, not a curated record